Equus caballus (horse) is the source of this 1884-nucleotide long non-coding RNA. The record is from Ensembl. Lineage: Eukaryota; Metazoa; Chordata; Mammalia; Perissodactyla; Equidae.
GCACGGGUUGUAAGAGCACAGCUCAGUGAAUUUUCACCUAGUUAUGCGCCUGUGUAAUCACCAUCCAGAUCGAGAUAUAGCAAGUUUCUAGCCCUUUAGAAGGCUCCCACGUGCCCUUGCCUGCCCCAGUCAACACUUGGCCGAAGGUAACUGCUGGACUAACCUCUACCAUCACAGAACCAGAUGCUUUAUAGGCCGUAAAUCUGUGAGCAGAUGACCACACUCCUGCGCAGACAGCUGAGAUCUCUCACCCAAGGGCUCUGUACACAAGUAUAGCCUUUCAUGCAUCGUGGGAGCCGGCUGUGGGGGAUGGGAGGAGGAGGAAAAACCUGCCUGGGCGGGACUGCCAUCUGCUCAACACCGUGAAGAGGCUCUCAGGACUCCCAGGGGUGGAUGCUCUUGGCACACUACAGGUGUGAAGUACAGUGAAUCUCUUGUGAGGUGGAAGACUCUGAAUUCCUCUGUACACUUGGGUGCAAGAAAUGCCCACACUUCCCUCCAGCUUCUGGGAACUCAUCUUCUCCGGUUUGGGGCAUAGCUGUCUCCCCUGUGAAGCAUCGCCUUCCAUCUCUUCCCUUUUUAAGAGGACUUCAGCUUCUCUUCUUGAAGAGCCAAGAACUCUCACAGUCCUGGUUGGGGCUUUUUCCAGGAUAGUUUUUUUGUUUUUUUUUUAAGAUUUUAUAUUUUUUCCCUUUUUCUCCUCAAGCCCCCCAGUGCAUAGUUGUAUGUAUUUUUAGUUGUGGGUCUUUCCAGUUGUGGCAUGUGGGAUGCCGCCUCAGCAUGGCUUGAUAAGCGGUGCUGCGUCUGCGCCCAGGAACCAAACUGCUGAAACCCUUGGCCGUAGAAGCGGAGCGCAUAAACUUAACCACUCGGCUGCAGGGCCGGCCUGACCCCUCCAGGAUAGUCUUUGAAACGCAAAGAAGCUCUUAAAGUUCUUACACCUGAGCAUAACAGGAUCCUGAGCCUCAGGACAAAAAGCCAACGUUCUGUCCAGAGAGGAAAAGGUGGGGAAAAUUGCCCUUUCCUUCUAUCAAGUAAGUCUCCACCAUAAAUAAAAACAGGGCACAAAUGACCACGCCAGUGAUCUAUCCUGUUCCACAGUCCUGGGUUCCAAAUCCCCCCUCUGCAACCAACCACAGGGGAAACCUGGCAAAAUAACGCCACAGUCCUCUCAGCCCUGGUUUCUUCAAUUACAAAAUGGUGCCGAUGCCAAUCAUACAAGGAUGUCGUCGUUAGUAAAUGAAAUUAGUUUUUUUUAAAGCUCGAUACCUAAGGUCCUAAGAAGUGUAUUGUCUUUUCUUUCUUCCUACAGAAGGAAUUACCUGGUAGCACGGAAGUAUGAACAUCUGAAUUAGGUGGUCCGGGUGACAGAGCUCUGAGAACAGUGAUGCACUUUGCCAGCCCUGGCUCAUAAUUGGAUGACAUCAGGAGGCUUCCCACCCACUCCUCUGGAUCUGUCAAGGCACAGAGUCUCAUUGUUAAUGACUUUCACUCUGAACAGCUGCAGGCUCUUGUUGGCUUCAUUCACUGUGAAGAUGGUGGUCAUACAUCCCAGAUUUGAAAUAAUCUGUCCUGUUUUCAGACCUUGUGUCAGGCCAUCUGCCUUGGUAUCUCAUUAGGAAAAUAUGAUCACUUUAAGGAUGGCACAAUCUCUUCCAACUUCUCGGCCCUCUUGGAGGCUCACCCCAUAUGUCUCGUUGUCUUGGACGCCUUUUUAGGUGAUGUCCCUUCUCCUUUGGCCAAUUAGCAACAUUCCCCAUGCAUCUUCAGUGGAAAUGCCCUCUCUUUAGGGAUCCUCCCUUGAAGAGAUUUCAAUCUAGUGAGUACUAAAAUUAGACAAAGUAAGGCAGGAGACUACCUCCUUAUGAAAAGCUACCUGAUCAG